This 254-nucleotide ribosomal RNA is filed under the name uncultured bacterium. RNAcentral's name for it is "partial 16S ribosomal RNA". It matches the Rfam family "Bacterial small subunit ribosomal RNA", at positions 524 to 776 of the family's 1533-position model. The record is from RNAcentral.
CACGUAGGGGGCAAGCGUUGUCCGGAUUUAUUGGGCGUAAAGAGCUCGUAGGCGGCUCAGUAAGUCAGGUGUGAAACCUCCAGGCUCAACCUGGAGACGCCACCUGAUACUGCUGUGGCUAGAGUCCGGUAGGGGAGCGUGGAAUUCCUGGUGUAGCGGUGAAAUGCGCAGAUAUCAGGAAGAACACCCGUGGCGAAGGCGGCUCUCUGGGACGGUACUGACGCUGAGACGCGAAAGCGUGGGGAGCGAACAGG